UUAUAAUAUUUUAAUAUUAUAAUAUUUUAGUUAACUUUGAAAUGAAUAAAGACACAUUUUUAAGUACGUUAAUAUUAGUCAAUGACAGUAGUCCUUUCAUUUUUGCUUCACUCGGAUAUUUCACAUAGUACUCUGGAAUAUGCUGAAUUCUGAUAUUUUUUACUAAUAUAGAAUUGCAUUCAAAUAAAUAAUGGUAUUCAUUGCCAAUUGCAGUUAAACACAAAUUACAUGUCCUCUCUUCUUUUGGAAUGUUAUACCAUCUUCCCAGCUCUACUGGAAUUUUUACAUUGCAGCAUCUUAAUUUUGAAAUAUAUUUACGUUCGAAUGGUGUUAAUUUUAAAAGAUAGUUUUCUAAGCCAAAGAUUGUUUUAAAAAGUCCAUAAAAUUCUCCUCUGGAUGAGUUGUCAAUUUGACUAUGCCAUUGUUGAAUGAAUGAAUCUUUUAGUUUUUCUGUCAGUACGAUUUUUAGUUGAUUUAUAUCUAAUGGUGAUUGCUGAGUCCAAACAUAGCUUAGUCCGGCAUUGUCUAGGAUCGAUUUAAUAUAAUCCAUCCAUUUGAAAGUGUGAUCAUCUUUUAAGUUGAACAUAAUUUGAUAAAGUAUACUGCUAAGUUUAUUUUCAUUGGUGAGAAGUUUGUUCCAAAAACACACCAUUCUACAUUUUAUUACGGUAUCUAUUGGUGUACGACCAAGUUCUCCAUAUGUCAUAAAAUUUGGUGUCGACGAUCUAAUUUUCAACACAUUCCGGCAAAACUGUAGAUGGAUUUUUUCCAACAUGUAAUUGUUUCCGAAUCCCCAUAUUUCACAUCCAUAUGUCAGAAUUGGAAGUACAAGUG
This 834-nucleotide long non-coding RNA is filed under the name Mytilus galloprovincialis (Mediterranean mussel). Lineage: Eukaryota; Metazoa; Mollusca; Bivalvia; Mytilida; Mytilidae. The record is from RNAcentral.